RNAcentral lists this ribosomal RNA (234 nucleotides) under uncultured bacterium. Its description in RNAcentral is "partial 16S ribosomal RNA". It matches the Rfam family "Bacterial small subunit ribosomal RNA", at positions 102 to 339 of the family's 1533-position model. The record is from RNAcentral.
ACGGGUGAGUAAUGCAUCGGAACAUAUCCAGUAGCGGGGGAUAACCUGUCGAAAGAUAGGCUAAUACCGCAUACGACCUACGGGUGAAAGCGGAGGACCGCAAGGCUUCGCACUAUUGGAGUGGCCGAUGUCGGAUUAGCUAGUUGGUGAGGUAAAAGCUCACCAAGGCGACGAUCCGUAGCUGGUCUGAGAGGGUGAUCGGCCACACUGGAACUGAGACACGGUCCAGACUCC